CCUACGGGUGGCUGCAGUGGGGAAUAUUGGACAAUGGGGGCAACCCUGAUCCAGCCAUGCCGCGUGUGUGAAGAAGGCCCUCGGGUUGUAAAGCACUUUCAGUGAGGAAGAACGCCUGGUGGUUAAUACCCAUCAGGAAAGACAUCACUCACAGAGGAAGCACCGGCUAACUCCGUGCCAGCAGCCGCGGUAAUACGGAGGGUGCGAGCGUUAAUCGGAAUUACUGGGCGUAAAGCGCGCGUAGGUGGCUUGAUAAGCCGGUUGUGAAAGCCCCGGGCUCAACCUGGGAACGGCAUCCGGAACUGUCAAGCUAGAGUGCAGGAGAGGAAGGUAGAAUUCCCGGUGUAGCGGUGAAAUGCGUAGAGAUCGGGAGGAAUACCAGUGGCGAAGGCGGCCUUCUGGACUGACACUGACACUGAGGUGCGAAAGCGUGGGUAGCAAACAGGAUUAGAUACCCUGGUAGUC
This 465-nucleotide ribosomal RNA is filed under the name Vreelandella stevensii. RNAcentral's name for it is "partial 16S ribosomal RNA". It matches the Rfam family "Bacterial small subunit ribosomal RNA", at positions 338 to 795 of the family's 1533-position model. The record is from RNAcentral. Lineage: Bacteria; Pseudomonadati; Pseudomonadota; Gammaproteobacteria; Oceanospirillales; Halomonadaceae.